AUAAUAAUUUGCUUUUAGCGAUCAAUUUCCUUUAAUUUUGUUGAAAUAAGCGAUUAAACAUAAUUUUUGACUGAUUCACUUGCAAGUGAAAACGUCAUCAUCAUUCUAACCGGUAUUCAUGUGAACUUCAAGUUAACCCCUAGCUAGAGAUUGACAACGCAUGCAUUGUACGUGUACUGGUUAUUUAAAGAAAAAGAAUGUCAACAAUGAAAGUGAAACUACGGUAAAUCAUUUAAUUACUAAUUCGAUGCACAUAAAAUCAUUCUUAUAUGGUUAAAAACAAUGAGAAACAUCUAUUUUUAAUCUAUAAAAUAAAAUCAAACAGACCUAUAAAAAUGCAAUUGCACGUGUUGGUUUAAUCUAUUCGUAUCUUUAUUUUUGUUUACAUCGCUUAUAUGGUCAUCUGAGGUCAAAUCGAUAGUUAAUUAGAUGGCGUCUGGACUAAAAUACACACGAAACGAACCUAUAUAUUAUCUACCCCAUGCUCUGUAAACUGUUUAUUUUAGACUUUUGAUAGUUUGGAUAAAUGUUUUACAUUGUUAUAAACCAAAUAUGAGAAUUUGAGUCAAAUCGGUUACAAUGAAUUUGACAGCUAGUGCCCCUUUAAGAUAGAUCAGUAAACAUGGGCAUAAUUAUGGGUGAUUAUUCAGACUAGUGCACACAUUUUACAGUUCAAACAAGGCAAUACCGAGCAUGGCAUCCCCUCGUAUGUAACAUAUUGGGGACAAAUAUGGACACUAUAUUUGUAUAUGACACAUGCAGAAAAUGGUAAAUUGAAUACGCAUAUUUGAUACAUAAACUAUUUUUUUAGAAAUCAACCAAAUUAUUCAGUAACUGGAAAUACCCACGGUCUUCCGUCUUAUGAUUAAACCAAAAAUUAAAUGUACAAUAUAAUAUAUAUUCAAUAUUGAUCAAACAAUUUAAAACGCGUG
RNAcentral lists this long non-coding RNA (932 nucleotides) under Mytilus galloprovincialis (Mediterranean mussel). Lineage: Eukaryota; Metazoa; Mollusca; Bivalvia; Mytilida; Mytilidae. The record is from RNAcentral.